Dreissena polymorpha is the source of this 287-nucleotide long non-coding RNA. RefSeq lists it as uncharacterized. The transcript is spliced from 3 exons. The record is from RefSeq and is a predicted model, not a curated record. NCBI's taxonomy places the organism in Eukaryota, Metazoa, Mollusca, Bivalvia, Myida, Dreissenidae.
CGGGAAACCCUUCUCAACUGGUACGAAGCCGGUAAAUAGAUGGCCAUAAAACAGUGACCGCUGAUUCGCGUCGAGUUCUUUCUUGCAUAACGUAGAGAAAUGUCUGGGACUUAGCCGAGGGCAACUGGAGAAGGGUUGUUGAUGGCAAAACAGGUUGGAGACUACAUGAGACUUUGACAGAUGGCGGGAAACCCUUCUCAACUGGUACGAAGCCGGUAAAUAGAUGGCCAUAAAACAGUGACCGCUGAUUCGCGUCGAGUUCUUUCUUGCAUAAUGUAUGACCCCCC